Molecule: RNA transcript, 1235 nt
Organism: Alligator mississippiensis (American alligator)
Lineage: Eukaryota; Metazoa; Chordata; Crocodylia; Alligatoridae
Gene: ZSWIM7
Gene name: zinc finger SWIM-type containing 7
Exons: 6
Source: RefSeq, a predicted model, not a curated record
CGGGCGGGCGGGCGGGCGAGGGUCUGUCUGCCCCGAGCCCUGGGCCAGGGUGCCGGCAGCUCGUGCCCACGGGCCGGGCUCGGUUGUAGGGGUCCGAGGCUGGCCCAGCCCGGGCUCGGUGUCCCAGCGCAGCACCAAGUGCUGACAGCUGAGCAGGGGUCAGAGCAAGCCCCGGGCGCUCGGGCCUCCCGGCUGCAUUGAGCCCGUGCUGGAGGCUGUGGUGCCAGCCUGACUCGGGGUGCUGGAAAGCAGAGGCUCAGCCCCCUGCAGCACCAGGCAGUGCCCGGUUGGCCCGCACGCCCCACACCCCAUGGGCUCCCCGGACACACACAGCCCCCAGCCCCUCCACCCCGUGCACACAGCCGCAGGCCUGGCUCAGCUCUGGGCCUCAUGCCCUCACCUCCCACCUGGGCCGUGCAGCAGCCCCACGGGCGCUGCAGCCCCGUGCCCGCCCCCGGGAUGCUCCGGUGGCUCCGGCCCGGGCCUCACAGCACCAGGGUUCGACUGCAUACCUGACGACCUGGGCACCACGCUGCCAGCAGUGGCUGAAGAGCUUCUCCGAGAGAUAAAGAAGGCUUUCCAGGAGACUGCGCAGGUCCCUGAUGAACUCCUGCUGGCGACUGAGUCCGUCAGCUCGGCCCGUGGCCAGUCAGACCGGCACAGAAAUCCACGGCAGCUGCACUGCCGAGAUGCUGGACUUGGGCUCGACCUCUCGUUCCCAGCCUUCUUCCCAGAGCAGAGGGGGCACGUCUGCUUCCUCCUGUCCUCAUUGUUUGCCCAGAGCGGCUCUCCUGGCUGUCUCCUGUUUGCCUUUGUCACUAAUUCAGGCUUUGGGGAAUUUUCCCCGGGGAUGAAAGGACCCCAAAGCUUCUGCCUCACCCUUGAGCUCCUUGGAACGGGUUCCCAGGCAUGCAGGAAGAGCAUGUCUAGCAGCACACCUACGCCUAGGAGCUGCCUGGACAAUAGGUGCCAGGUUCAGGUGUCCAGCCUCCCCCCAAGCAGGUUAUCAGGUAUCCCUACGUGACUCGCAGCAGCAGGGGCAGUGCAAAGCAGCCUUGCUGGGAGAGACUCACGUUCGAGUCAUUUCUUAGCCUGACCAUUGACCUGGGAGGCCUCAAGUCCCAGCAGCUCUGGCCCGUAACUCAGGCUCAAGUUUGUGUUCGGCCCAAUUGCUGUCCCAGCCUUGGACCUGGUGGACCAGCGCUCGGUGACCCGCGUCGUGUCCCCCAGCGGAC